CGGACGAAGUUGGCCAGCCCCACCCCCCAUGGCUAUAGGCCGACCCGUUUUUGUGGCCUUUUUCCGCUGGACGAACUUGGCGCCCGGCCUUCGGGCGGUUAUUUUUGGGCGCGGAUUUGCCCGCUGCCUAUUUUUGGCACACGGAGGCCCCUUGCAAAUUCUAGCGGCUUUCCGUGUCCGGCGGACGAAGUAGGCCAGCCCCACCCCCCAAGUCUAUAGCCCACCCGUUUUUGUGGCCUUUUUCCGCUGGACGAACUUGGCGCCCCGUCCUUCGGGCGGUUAUUUUUGGGCGGGGCUUUGCCCGCGGCCUAUUUUUGUCACAAGGAGGCCCCUCGUAAAGUCUCGCGGCAUUCCGAGUCCGGCGGACGAAGUCGGCCAGACCCACCCCCCAAGGCUAUAGCCCACCCGUUUUUGUGGCCUUUCUCCGCUGGACGAACUUGGCGCCCCGGGCAUCAGGCUGUUAUUUUUGUGCGCGGCUUGGCCCACGGCNN
Molecule: long non-coding RNA, 491 nt
Filed under: Citrus x clementina
Lineage: Eukaryota; Viridiplantae; Streptophyta; Magnoliopsida; Sapindales; Rutaceae
Description: Citrus clementina (C. clementina) long non-coding RNA (CCLE_LNC004984)
Source: RNAcentral